This 466-nucleotide ribosomal RNA is filed under the name uncultured bacterium. Its description in RNAcentral is "partial 16S ribosomal RNA". It matches the Rfam family "Bacterial small subunit ribosomal RNA", at positions 30 to 507 of the family's 1533-position model. The record is from RNAcentral.
CGAACGCUGGCGGCGUGCUUCCCACAUGCAAGUCGCACGGAAAGGCCCUGCUUUUGUGGGGUGCUCGAGUGGCGAACGGGUGAGUAACACGUGAGUAACCUGCCCUUGACUUUGGGAUAACUUCAGGAAACUGGGGCUAAUACCGGAUAGGAGCUCCUGCUACAUGGUGGGGGUUGGAAAGUUUCGGCGGUUGGGGAUGGACUCGCGGCUUAUCAGCUUGUUGGUGGGGUAGUGGCUUACCAAGGCUUUGACGGGUAGCCGGCCUGAGAGGGUGACCGGCCACAUUGGGACUGAGAUACGGCCCAGACUCCUACGGGAGGCAGCAGUGGGGAAUAUUGCACAAUGGGCGGAAGCCUGAUGCAGCAACGCCGCGUGCGGGAUGACGGCCUUCGGGUUGUAAACCGCUUUCGCCUGUGACGAAGCGUGAGUGACGGUAAUGGGUAAAGAAGCACCGGCUAACUACGUG